Molecule: ribosomal RNA, 484 nt
Filed under: uncultured bacterium
Lineage: Bacteria
Description: partial 16S ribosomal RNA
Rfam family: Bacterial small subunit ribosomal RNA
Source: RNAcentral
AUUGAACGCUGGCGGCAGGCCUAACACAUGCAAGUCGAGCGGAUGAAGGGAGCUUGCUCCUGGAUUCAGCGGCGGACGGGUGAGUAAUGCCUAGGAAUCUGCCUGGUAGUGGGGGAUAACGUCCGGAAACGGGCGCUAAUACCGCAUACGUCCUGAGGGAGAAAGUGGGGGAUCUUCGGACCUCACGCUAUCAGAUGAGCCUAGGUCGGAUUAGCUAGUUGGUGGGGUAAAGGCCUACCAAGGCGACGAUCCGUAACUGGUCUGAGAGGAUGAUCAGUCACACUGGAACUGAGACGCGGUCCAGACUCCUACGGGAGGCAGCAGUGGGGAAUAUUGGACAAUGGGCGAAAGCCUGAUCCAGCCAUGCCGCGUGUGUGAAGAAGGUCUUCGGAUUGUAAAGCACUUUAAGUUGGGAGGAAGGGCAGUAAGCUAAUACCUUGCUGUUUUGACGUUACCAACAGAAUAAGCACCGGCUAACUUCGUG